UGGAUUCCAUCUGUGUUUGGAGAAUCUCCAGGAGAUGAAGUUGUGAAGUCAGACACUUGAAUGUUUACACAGUUAUCAAACUUGAGGUGGGUCUGAGGGCUGUUCUGUAUGGUUAUUCCAUUAACCAUUACACCGUUACUCCCGUAGAAUCUCAAAGCCUACGUACCAGCCAAGGAAGGAGACAGGUCCAACAAGGAACGUAGAACCGGAUGGAACUAAUAAUGUCGAUGCUGCCACUUUACAAGCUUCAUUCCAAGCAUCUUCAAAGGCCUGCAAUAUCAAAGUCAAGGACAUUGAACGUUCCGGAACUUCCCCCUUCAGCGAUAGACCUGCGGUUUCCUCUCCAGUAUACACUGUGUCUAGCGUCACAAGAGAUUAAAAGGAGAAGUUUCAGGGCAAGACAUUUCAAGGUACUGAGCUGGUCUUGGUAAGCUCUUCGGUUAACACAAAAACCAAAAUCUAUUUAUCAGGCAAAGGAUUAUUAAAGAGUCAAGAAAAGUUGCCAUACAAUCACAGGCAUGUCACGUAGACCUCAUCAUAAGAUAAUCUUUUUUUUUAUUUUGAAUUCCUUAAAUUAAGCAGCGUAAUUUAGGUUAAAUCUGUGGUGUUCAUUGAAUCUUCUCAAAUGCUAUAUAAAAUCUAUUUAUCAUUUUUUCUUCGAACUCAUGAACAUUCAAAGGUCCAUAUUAGUUGCAUGAGAAUAGGAUGCUCAGCACGGUUUGAUUAUGGUAUAUUAGUAAGAUUCAAAGUUAUGUAUUGAACUCGUGAUGAAGAUACACUUUGCAUGCAGCCCCAGGUGGAAGGAAGAAUAUAGACUUGUAGAGUAUAGACUAGCACGUUGCUACAUGUAUGGAUCCCAUGCGUUGACUUUGACAAAACUUUGUUGAAUUAUUCUAUAUCUCUUGAUCUUGAAGAGCCUAUUGGUCCCCAAAUUCACUGAAAUGCUGUUACUAUUUUAUUAAUUGUAUCUUGCUUUGGCUGUUGGAAGUGUGAUUAUAUAUAAGAAAUUUCAAGUGAUUCCAUGUCGUGUAACUGAUUUCUUGUGACACUUUUUUAUUAUCUUCGACUA
Molecule: long non-coding RNA, 1069 nt
Organism: Brassica napus (rape)
Lineage: Eukaryota; Viridiplantae; Streptophyta; Magnoliopsida; Brassicales; Brassicaceae
Exons: 4
Source: RefSeq, a predicted model, not a curated record